GUUAAUAAAAGUACUAAUCUCAUCUCUCUGGCGGCUCUGCUCCCAAGUCUGCAUCUUUCUCUCUUCAGUCGGAUCUCAAAAGUAUCCAUAAACCGAUCCAUCUUCUCCUUCUUCUUCAACGAUUCAAUCCAAAUCCCUAAUUUUCUCUGCAAAUCUAUACGUACAGUAUAUCUGUAUCUAUCUAUUUUCCUCUUAAAUAAGCACCUUUGAGUUGUCACUAUCAUUUAUGGCUUCUUCUCCUGGCAAUCCGAACCAACCAGGUGGUACUGGUACUGGUACUGGUACUGGACCAUUUGAUAUACACAAAUUCUUCAAACCCUCAACCCCAACAAACCCUAAUCCCCAAAACCCUACUUUAAUUCCAUCCCCUUUUCCACCUCCAAACGCUUCUUACCCACCACCCACCGUCGCCGGAGUCGGACCCGGUGGGGUUUACCCGUACCCACCUCAGACUACAACCCCUUUUCAUCAUCACGCUCAAUUCACUCACCACUUGCCGCAAUACAGUACACCGCAUGAUACCCAGUUAAUGCAUCAGCAGAGAUCCAUGUCUUUCCCCACUCCACCACUUCAACCACCACCACCUACUAGUAGUCCUCAUCAAUUCCCUAACCCUAACCCUGGUGCUAGGCUUAUGGCACUGUUGAGUGCCCCACCGUCUACUAUGGAAGUUCCGAUACAGUCCACUAUGCCUAUGCCUCCCAUACAACCUACUACUUCGGGGUCUGAGCUUUCGGAUUUCUCUUCUGGACCGAAUGUUGGCGUUGCUCAUUCGGGUCCGGGACCAAUGAGAAUGCCGAGCAGUAAGUUACCUAAAGGGAGACAUUUGAACGGUGAUCAUAUUGUUUAUGAUAUAGAUGUUAGGUUUCCUAGUGAGGUGCAGCCACAGCUGGAGGUUACUCCUAUUACUAAGUAUGGUUCGGAUCCCGGUCUUGUAUUAGGCCGGCAAAUUGCAGUUAACAAAACCUAUAUAUGUUACGGAUUGAAAUUGGGGGCUAUUCGGGUUCUUAACAUUAAUACUGCAUUGAGAUCAUUGCUUAAAGGUCUUGCGCAGGUUGGCUAUUCGGAUUCUCAAAGCUUCUGCCUUUUUCUGUUUAUUUGGAUUUCUUAGCUAGUACAUGCUGGAAUAUCAUUAUUUAUCUGUUAUACAAACCUUAUAGGCAUAAUGCUACAAUUUAUGCUAGUUGCCAAUCGUAAAUGUGAUGAUGGUGGUAAUUGUGGG
RNAcentral lists this long non-coding RNA (1222 nucleotides) under Solanum tuberosum (potato). RNAcentral's name for it is "long non-coding RNA (STUB_LNC007779)". The record is from RNAcentral. Lineage: Eukaryota; Viridiplantae; Streptophyta; Magnoliopsida; Solanales; Solanaceae.